GGAGCAGGAUCCUGGAGUCGAAGGCGGCGGCGGUGGAGUUGAGCAUCCAGGUGUAGAAGGGGUGGAAGACGACGGCGUCGGGGCAGCUGAGCGUCGCCGGCAGCUUGGGGCACUCGAUGAAUGACUUGCCGUCCGUGCUCGCGCAGAGGUAAAUCUCGUACAGCUGCUUCUUCCCGAAGGGCCCGUCCUUGCACUGCAGCCCCGGCGCGACGCCGAGCUUCUUGGUGAUGGCCGACUUGAUCUUCGCCGUGGCGUAGAGCUUGUAGUCCGGCUUGAUGCCCUGGUCGGCCAGCGCGGCGAGGAUGCCCGCCUGCGUCCUCAGGCCGAGGGCGGCCUUGAAGUAGUCCAGCUGCGCCAGGCCCGAGCAGACGCCGUAGCUGUUCCACUCGCUCUUCCAGGUGUUCAUGCCGUCGGUGGGCGGGCACUUGAUGUUGCUCCAGUAGUGGUUGAUGCCGUUCUCAAUCUUGUUCAUCUGACCGGUCGACCGAUCGAUCGAUGCAUGGGAUGAGCAUGAUAUCGUGUGAGAUAAAUUAAAGCUAGGUAGGGGUUUGCAAGCAUGGAUAAUUAAGGGCCGGGGGUUUAAUUUAGAGAAUCGAAGAUGUGAGUAGUUAACCUUGCGGUUGUCGAAGGGUGCACCGUUCCUGCACCUGACGAUGGGCUUGUUAAUGGACAGGUCGAAGGUUUGGAAGCUCUUCACGAAGAAAUCCUCCGCCGGGUAGCCGUACUUGGGCACGCAGCAGCCGUUGUCGCUGUCCUCGCAGUAUGCUCCAGGCCACUGCAUGCACAGAAACGAUCCAUCGAUUCAGCUUGGGAAACGGCAAUGGUUUCGUCCCUGGCCUAGCUUCCUGAUAACGCAUGUAUUACUGCUCCAUGCAUGUAUUUUCUACACGUUCAUUUUGGCCUGAAAAUUCAAUUAUUACUUAUUAGUAUAGGACAAACAGUUUCUUUCACGUGUCAUAAUUCAUAAUCGAUCCAUCCGUCAUUCACGUCUCUGGCCCCAUGAGCGCGACAGAAUGGUCCUUGGUUCAUAGCUAGUGGUACUAUGACGUUGGUCGGGCAAAAUUGUGAAGGCCGGUAGCUUUAAAGUUUGCUUAUACUUUGUCACGGAUCAUGAUUAUUAUGUUGAAUUAUACAUGUCCAUGCUUACUGUGUGUUUUUUUCCAUGACGACACACGGUCACUGUGUUAUUCUGAUCUUAUAUAUGCUCAAAAGAUUUGGAACUUCGACUUAUUGAUAGCUGAAAACAAAAGGCACACUGACAAUUUAAUUUUGCUUAGUAAUUCAGCUGUGACAGUAUGUAUGUACAAAAUGUAUGAAAUAUCAGACAUGCAAAAGCGUGGUUAGUGGUGUGUGCGCUUCACCUUGUAAUUGCAAGAAAAAUAUAGUACAACAGAAAAUUAUCUAGCAUUGUAAUAUUGUGAUUGUAGAUAAUUAUUCUGGCAAUAAACAUUAAGGAAGAUAUAUAUAGUUUCAUGCAUAGAGCACUUAUGUCGUGUACAAUCAUCAGAAUUAGCAAUAUUAGUAUAUUGUAAACCAUGUGCAGAAAAUUAAGCGUUUGAAAAAGGUUCAUACCAU
RNAcentral lists this long non-coding RNA (1575 nucleotides) under Setaria italica (foxtail millet). Its description in RNAcentral is "long non-coding RNA (SITA_LNC001512)". Lineage: Eukaryota; Viridiplantae; Streptophyta; Magnoliopsida; Poales; Poaceae. The record is from RNAcentral.